ACGGGCUCAAGGACACAGCACCAUUUCUGGGGUGUUCUUGCCAAGAAUGCAUGUCCUCAGUUCACUCACAAGGAAGCACAGACAGCGAUUCGGACCAGGUAACAGAAUGUGACAUGCAGGGCUUUGGGUCCACAUUUGCACGGGCGGAGCCGCACAUCUCCUAGUUCUGGGAGGCUGUGCACAUGAGCCUGGUCCUCAGGACAUUUCCCGGCGCUGCAAGCUCCUGGAGAGCCCUCAUACCCGGCUGCAGCUCAGACCCUCCGCACCUCUGCCCGAAGCCUGAGCCACCUCCACACCGUUAGCCCAGGGGCAGUCCCUGGUGACACACGCCAGAGAGGUCUAAAUUUGGGAAAAUUCACAACCUAAGGGCUGGCGCCCUGGAAAUGGCCCUGAGGGUCCAUCUCCUGGGCCCUGGCCUCCGCCCACACCACCCCGAUCAUCAGAGGAAGGCCAUCUCAGUGGCACAGUCCUCCUGGCUGCAGGAGGGGACCACAUCCUGUCUGACUGCAGCUCCUUGUAAGCUGUGCAGGCCCUGCUGCCAGCCGCUCCCUGUGUGCUUGGUGAGGGGAGAAGCUUCCCCCACCCAGCGAGGGGGCCGGGAGAACUGCCAGCUUGCCUGUUCCCACUGGGGCAGGGAGGGGCAGAAACCAGGCUCAGCAUUCCGGGGCCCCUGGGCCGGCCCAAGGUGAUUCCUCUGUCUUCCCCAAAUAUCUGGUCUCCCUCAAGCCCAGACACUGUGAGCCACCCCCUUCAGGUCUUGGCAGCAGCAUGUGGCUGGAUGGACACACACGGACAGGGCCCCAGACCUCAGAUGUGCAGCUCAUGGGGUGACUGUGUUCCUGGGGCCCGGGUGACUGUCACUCACUCAGGACUGACACUGCCUGUCAGUUCGCCGCAGGCCAAGCCUGUUGGGUCUCCAGAGCAUGGGUGUGCGUACCCCGUCCUGAACCGCACAGGCUGGUUCUCAGAGUGCUGCGGGCGGGGCCCUGCCUGUUGCUAGGCCGGCGGGUGACUGAGGUGAGGAGGUCAGAGGCAGUUAGCGGCAUGGAGCCGGUGGCAGAGCGAACAAGGCCCUCUGAGACCAGGACCCAGACCCUUCAGACGGGGCCCCUGGGCGGGUCCACGUAUGGCCUGCAGCGAGGCUGACUGAGGGAUGGAUGCCUUCAGAAGCGGGAACACCGUACCACAGAGGCCCCUGCGAGGCAGCACCCAUUCCGCUGCAGAGGGCCCUGAGCCGCCUUGCCUGGCCCGUCCUCCCCGUCGGAAGUGGGUCUGCACCGUGGCCCCGGCACCUCCUCCAGCACAUCCGGCUGCAUGGAGGCAAGCGCCUGUAAGCCCGACUUGUGUAAAUAUUUACUGGGAUGAUCAGGCUGCAAGACUGGAGGUUGCUUCCCCAUCACAAAAUAAGCAGGAAGACGAACCGGCAAGUUCCCAAAAAUUAAGUGUCAGGGCAGGAGGCCUGGGGUUGUUGGAAGAAGCCCCACUCUGGCCCCUCACCCCAGGCUGCAGGGUGGGGAGGGGCUGGGGUUGCCUGCAGAGAAGAACCUGCCUCCCAGGAGAUGGCUGCUGGGGCUCUGUAAGGGGCCCAGGGGGACCUUGAGCCAGAGCCAAGGCCCCUGGGCAGCCACCAGCUUCAGCCUGGUGGCCCAGAAGGCUGCUGAUGGGUGAUUGGCAACUCCAGGGUCUCUUUAGAAAAAGAGGUGUGACAAGUCAGUCCACCAGCGUGUGCAGGGGGCCGCGGGAGCCACCCGCAGUGAGCCUGGGGUCAGACUCUAAGGAGCCCCGGGCAGGAGGGAUGGCAGAGUGGGCUGCAGGCCCACGUGCAGCUCAGAUAGUACAUGUGGCUCCAUAAGUUCCCACCCCCGGGAUCCUGCACUGGGACACCAUGCUGGUGGGGUGUGCGCGUGUGCAUACAUGAGCGAGCACAGGGGCAUGUGGGCGUGAGCACUGUGUGUGUCUUGCAGAGGGGCCGUGGCUGUGAGCUUUGGGUAUGUGCUGGGCUCUGAGGGGACAGGAGGUGGGGUGAUGGCAGUCCCCACAGGAAGAGUGGGUGGACGGAUGGACUGAUGGGUGGACGGACGUAGGGAUGGGUGGGCGGAGAGAACGGCACGAUGUGCAUGGAGCCAUGGAGAAGCUGUACUGAGAAACACUGGGGGCAGACUUACUGCCCCCUCAGGCACGUCUGAAGAAGAAAAGCACCGUUUCUAUGCAAUCUGUCACCACGCCGGUCCUUGGCAUUCCGAUGACACUCUACAGCGUAUCCAGAGCCAGCCUCAGCCUCCACACUGUUUGUACCUUUUCAGCCUCAGUGACUGAGCAUCAUCUCCAUAAAUUCUGCCACGAACCCCAUGCAAUAUUCCUAUUCUGCUGCCUGAAGACUGAGAAAUGUGACUCUCUUUCCCCUACUGAGCAGCCUGCAGGUAGACAAGGGGACCCCCCACCGCAGCGUGUGCUGGGGCCAGGCCCUCCUCAUGAGCUCUGCAGCCGGCCCCAGGUGGCCUGGAUGCAGCCCACUGCCUCUUGGCUCAUCUCCCCAAAGCACACAAUCCAUUAGAGCCCAUCGUCGGCCACAGCCGGGUGCCGUGGGACCUACCACACCCCAACCCCGCUCAUCCAAGGCACACCGCCCUCACCGACCCAGGGCCUCACACAGGUUGGGUGGGUAGGGGUGCUGGGCCCCUUGGGCGGGACCUGAUUUUUUUUUUUUUUGGUAUCAUUAAUAUACAAUUACAUGAGCAACAUUGUGGUUACUAGAUUCCCCCCAUUAUCAAGUC
Manis javanica (Malayan pangolin) is the source of this 2774-nucleotide long non-coding RNA. RefSeq lists it as uncharacterized. NCBI's taxonomy places the organism in Eukaryota, Metazoa, Chordata, Mammalia, Pholidota, Manidae. The record is from RefSeq and is a predicted model, not a curated record.